Dipodomys ordii (Ord's kangaroo rat) is the source of this 312-nucleotide non-coding RNA. The record is from Rfam. NCBI's taxonomy places the organism in Eukaryota, Metazoa, Chordata, Mammalia, Rodentia, Heteromyidae.
GGGUGUAAAGGCCAUCUGGCUGAAACAUCUGUCACCUCAUUGAUCGCCAGGGUUGAUCCUGCAGAUCUGGCAGGCUAGACGGGUGUCCACUUCCUCCCUCACCCCUCCAAAUGCAUCUCUCCCAAAGCUGUGCUUUCGUUUUGAAGAGGAUGGCCAUCCCAGAUAGACCAGAACUAGUCUUCAGUCAAGGGUAUAAGAGUAGCUGCGUUCCCCUGCUAGAACCUCCAACAAACUCUCAAAAAAAGUCUUCUGUCCUCUGUUGCUAUUCAACGUGCCAACCCUUAGAGACACUUCAGUAGUGUGCUCUGCUAG